Hemicordylus capensis (graceful crag lizard) is the source of this 7117-nucleotide RNA transcript. RefSeq lists it as uncharacterized. The record is from RefSeq and is a predicted model, not a curated record. The transcript is spliced from 2 exons. NCBI's taxonomy places the organism in Eukaryota, Metazoa, Chordata, Lepidosauria, Squamata, Cordylidae.
UAUCAAGGAGGAUGUCUCUCAGGGGAUCAAGCCCACUUGUUAGGACUCAGAGUUUGGAAUUAUUCACAGAUGAAGGCAGGGACAGGUCCCCAAUUAAAAGCCCAGGUCAGACGGCCCGUUUCCAUGCCCAGGAUUUCGGGGGUGAAGAAGACCAGAGGCCACAAUUAUCGGGGAAAAUGCUAAAGUCUCUAUCUGCAGGUCACAUAACUGAUUCUGCAAUCAUUGCUGCAUUAAAUUCAACAGACGGCCAAUCUCCUCCUUUGCCAGUAGACGGCAGUGAUUUACAAGGAAUAGAAGUGACUAUUGAAACAACCGGAAAUAUCCAACUGGAUGAUGAUGAAUCUAGCUGGUCAGACAUACAAUCCCUAGAAGAUGACGAUAACUCUGGCCUUUUCUCUUCGGAUGAAGGGGAAGUGGAAAGGGUUGCUGAAAAGGAAAAAGUAGUAUCCACACCGUUACAGGAGGACCAGCACUCAUUUGCAAGAGGUGAAGUGAGAGUAGAAGAUUUUCUGAGUAACCCUACCUAUUUAGAAUCAGAAGCUUUGCAAGUAGUGAAGCAGGAGGGGAAGUACUCUACCUCUGAAUGGCAAGAAUUUCUACAAAAAGAGGUCAAAGAGGUAGCAAAUAUCCUCUUGACAACGGACUUGCAUCCAAUAGAAUUGUUUGAAUUCUGGGCCUUUUUGUUAGCCCAUAUAACCUUACCUAAGCUGAAUAUUGCCAUGACUACCUGGAAAAAGAAAAGUACAGCUGAACAAUGGAACAGGCUGGAAAAAGAUCAUGACCUGAUUUUUCGAUGGCUUAUGGGAGCAGAAAUCAAGUCGGAACACAAGGUAGCUGUGGCAGUAGCAACGAGCUCAAUCAUCUUGACCAAAAUGAUGACCCAUAGAAUGACCAAAAUGCGGAAGCCUCUCAUGAAACCCCUCCAAUUUCCGGAGUGGCUGACUGAAAUAAAUCUACUGAAAAAGAUUCAGGGCCUAAAUCGUUUUUUACAAGAAAAAUCUUCCUCUGGAAUUACAGGCAGCCUAUUAGUGGCUCCCUUUUCAACUGGGAUAGAAGGAAAUGACCUUCCAAUGUCAAUUAACCAGUGUGUGGAUUGGUUGUACACAAUCACCACCUAUUUAAAACAACGCUUAAGAAAGAAGAAGGAAGCUUUUUCGCAACUCCGUGAAGUACAUCUUAAAGAGAGACCCGAGAAGAGGAAUGUAACUAAAGAACCUACGGAGGGAGUAAUUCCUGCUGUCCCACCCUCUCAAAUUGAACCAACCACAACCCUCCAGGGGAACCAGGAGGAACCUAGCCACCAUAUAACAGCACAGGACGGUGGGGAGAAUUUUUCUCCUGACCACAGAGGGAGUGCAGCCAAAAAGGCUCGGAUAGAACCAACGCAUGAGCCUAUAGAAGGACCAAAGUCGGAGGCAAAGGCCAGCACACCCGAGCUGGUUUCCCCAAACCCCCUUUUGAGGGCUCUGGAUCGGGAAGGAAUAGACAUUAUCGGAGCUGCUCACCAGCAUCUCCAAAGUGCACCAGAGACCCCGACCGUAGCAACAGUGGGACAAGAGAACCAAGCACCACCAAAAAGAUAUGAAGUAGAAGGCGCGAGGCCUAAGACAACGUCCCUGCCCCCUUCUGGGACUACUUCUAAAAGAAAAAUGGACUUAAUGGCUUUAUCCUCCGCUCUUGAGCAAAGGGGGACUAACCGACAAGGGCAAUCCGCAAUCCCACUGAAUCUCUAAAAUUUUACAUUACGAUUCAAUAAAGGCAUCCAAAACUUUUUACAAAGAAAUACCCUUUACAGUAAAUACCAUCUAAUAUAUCUCGUAGUUUAAAACAAUGGUCAGUACCCUCUAGUGUGGAUAGAGAUGUGUCCCGCAUACCUUCACGUAAUAGGUGGGUCUACGUCCAUGGUCCAUUUCCACCUCUGUUCCCAUUUCCCUCUAGGCAGAAUACAUUUCUCCUUUUGAACAAAACCCAGCAGGAGUUUCCACGCUAAUAAGACUGUUUUAUUUGGGGGAAUCUCACUAUUCUUCCUUAUUUCGAGGUUCCUGUACAAGAACAAGGCAUAGGUUACAUAAAGAUUAACGGUCUAUACCACACACAUGGGUACUCUCCACCUCGAAAAAACACUGUUCCCCGAGGCAUCACGUUUGCCAGCAAGUUUCCUCUUAGGACCUGGCAGCGGGUGGGGUUCGGUUGCCCCCGACGCUAUGGCAGUCACGCAUCAUGGCAGUCACGCACAAAGAUGUUGAUUCCACGGGAAGUCAAUUCCCGAUUCCCGAUUCCACGGUUCCAAAUUCCCGAUUCCACGGGAAGUCAAGUGCUCCCUCUAUUGGUGGCUAUCCCCAGAUCUGCUUGCGGGUAGACCAUUGAUGGAACCCCAACGGGUGGUUGUCACAACGGAUGCCAGCCUGUCGGGAUGGGGAGCUCACUGCCUCGGGCAAGUGGCACAAGGUGCCUGGUCACCAGAAGAGUCCAAACUUCCCAUCAACUGGUUGGAACUUCGUGCGGCUCGGCUGGCACUUAUACACUUCCAAUAUCUUCUAAAAGGCCAACACAUACUCCUCAGGACGGACAAUGUGACAGUAAAGGCGCACAUCAACCGUCAAGGGGGCACAAGGUCCAGGCUGCUGAUGAAGGAAUCCAAUCAGCUAUUUCGUUGGGUGGAGGACAACAUUCCCUCCAUAAUCGCAGAGCAUGUCAAAGUCCCUGGCGGACUUUGGCUCAGUCGGAAGACCGUGGACCCAGGAGAAUGGUUGCUUCAUCCGGAAGUCUUCGAAUCACCAACUCCCUCGCUUCAUGGGAAGGUACCACUCUCCUCGGGCGGAAGCAACAGAUGCUCUUCACUCUCCAUGGCCGGAAGGCCUCCUAUACGCCUUCCCACCCACGCCCAUAAUCAGGAAGGUCAUCAAGAAACUACUACUGGAAAAAGCGGAAUUGAUUCUGGUGGUUCCGUUCUGGCCACGCAGACCUUGGUUCUCAGAUCGUCUCGAACUCGCCACUUGUCCUCCAUGACGCCUUCCGGUCCGCCACGACCUGCUACGCCAAGGGCCGUUUCAUCAUCCCGACCCCCAAUGGCUACAACUUUCCGCCUGGAGGUUGAGUGCACAAGGCUCAGGGCCAAGGGCUACUCAAAGUCAGUGCAAGAUACCAUCCUAGCUUCAAGAAGGCCCUCCGCACAGCGGGUGUAUCAAGCCACAUGGAAGGCAUUUCUGCGUUGGUCACAACAGAAUAAGAAAAACCCCAUAACGGCAGGGGUACUGGGAGUACUCGCCUUCCUGCAGCAAGGUCUGAGCUUGAACCUACGUCCCAGCACUCUGAAGCGACAGGCCUGAGUUUUAGCCUCCGUCCUAGAUAUUUCGUCUACUUCCUCGGGGCAACAAUCUCUCCACCCGCACAUCUCUAGAUUCCUGAGGGGCACAACCAACCUUGCCCCGGCCCCCAUCAAACGAUUCCCGUCCUGGAACUUGAACCGCGUCCUCAAUGCUCUCACAAAACCCCCCUUCGAACCCAUUGACUCUAUUUCACUCAAGUUGUUAACCUAUAAGGUUCCGUUUCUAGUUGCAAUUACGUCCGCACGCAGGGUUUCGGAAUUGAGUGCCUUAUCGUCAAGGAAGGAAUUUUGUAUCUUCCAAUCUGACACAGUGUCCCUUCACUUGGACCCUACCUUCCUUCCCAAAGUCAAUUCCUUCUUUCACAGAUCUCAGGUGAUCGUUCUCCCUUCCUUCUGUCCAAAUCCAGUCCAUCCCACUGAAAAAUUGUGGCACAAUCUGGAUGUGCGCAGGGCCCUCCGUAUGUAUAUACGCAGGACUAGGGAUAUUUGCAAGACUGAUGCACUUUUUGUUUCUUUCUACCCUCCCUUCCUUGGGAAGAAGGUAUCUAAGGCAACGUUAGCUGGGUGGAUUAGAUCCUGUAUCCUGUUGGCGUACGAAAUCCCCAAACGACGCUGAUGACCUGAUGAGCCAUGUGAACUGGCUUGGUGUCUUCAGGUGCACACCAGAGAUGGUCUCAGUGGACCCCUCGACAGCUAAAGGGCAGUAAGCACAGAUGUGGUUCAGCGUCACUUGUUAGGGACUUGGGAUCAGCUGCAGCAGAGCGGCACUCUGUCGGGUGCAUAGCCUGUCGCUAACCCAAGUUUGGCCUGGGUGUUGAAUAUCCCACAUACGUGCGCUCUCUCUCUCUCUCUCUCUCUCUCUCUCUCUCUCUCUCUCUCUCUCUCAGAGCAGGCACUCCCUCAUGGGAACAUAGGAAGCUGCCCUAUACUGAGUCAGACCCUUGGUCUAUCUCGCUCAGUAUUGUCUACACAGACUGGCAGUGGCCUCUCCAAGGUGGCAGGCAGGAGUCUCUCCUAGCUCUGUCUUGGAGAUGCCGCCAGGGAGGGACCUGGGAACCUUCUGCAUGCAAGCAGGCAGGGGCUCUUCCCAGAGUGGCCCCAUCAUCCCCUGAGGGGAAUAUCUUACAGUGAUCCUACAUGGCCUCCCAAGCAGAUGCCAAGCAAGGUGGACCCUACUUCUCCAAGGGGACAGUGUGUGCUUGCAACCACAUAAGAACUGCCCUGCUGGAUCAGGCCCCCCAAGGAAGCCUCUCCAAGCCCAGCAUCCAGAUGCCUCUGGGAGGCCCCCAGGCAAGAGCUGAAAGGGGCCAGCCCCCUCUGUUGCCGUUGCUCCCCUGCAACUGGGAUUGGGAGGCAUCCUGCCUCUGAGGCUGGAGGCAGGCUAGAGCCCUCAGGACUAGUAGCCAUUGAUAAUAGCCCUGUCCUCUGUGAACAUGGCUAAGCCCCUUUCCAAGGCCGUGUAAGUACUGGUGGCCACCAAGAGGCAAAAUGUGGCUGCCGCGCGAUUAGUCAACCUUGCUGCCGAUUGAACCGCGCGGUAUGACUUCCAAGCCAGAAGGGUGGGGUGGGAGGAGCUGGUCUACUUGUCCCAGGCAGGCAGGCAACCCCGCACGUUGGCCACCGAGUGUCAACUGGCAGCUGCAGUCAACGCCAGCUCCCUGCUAAAAAUGGAACUGCACAGUCCGUGUGGAUGUCUUGCAAGCACACAUUAUAGUUUAAGUAUGAUUACGAGUUAAGUCAACCUUAAAGCGUGUGUGGAUUGUGUGUGUGUCUAUAAAUUUAUUUAUUUAGUCUAUCUACUGACCUAUACAAAAAAGGUCCCUGGGCCGUUCACAAUUAUAUUGCUGUUGUUGUUGUUGUUAUACAGUUUGAGAAUGUCUAUAUUUAUAUAUGUCUAGAAAUGCUGAUGUGUGAAGCAGCCCUCAAAGCCGGCUGCUAGUUCUGUUGCUCACUUGCUCCGUUAGACAAAUCUUAGUUGAGCCAUCAAAUGAGUUGCAUUCUGUGAAAUCUGCAUUCAUUUGCAUGAAUUUGCAUUCAAAGCCCUGAAGGGCUUAGGUCUACUGACCUAUACAAAAAAGGUCCCUGGGCCGUUCACAAUUAUAUUGCUGUUGUUGUUGUUGUUAUACAGUUUGACAAUGUAUAUAUUUAUAUACAGUGGUCCCUCGACUUACGAACUACUCGACAUCCGAAGUUUUCGACUUACGAACGACAAAAAUGGCCACACGCUUACGAAUUUUUCGACAUCCGAACGGAAACCGUUGGCGGUUUAGAUGCGGUUUCCUCGACUUACGAAUUUUUAGAUGCGGUUUCCUCGACUUACGCAUUUUUCCAGACCUCCGUGGGUGCGCUUUUCGACUUACGAAAUUUUCGAUCUACGAACGUGCAUUCGGAACGGAUUAACUUCGCCCCUGUAUGUCAAAGUGAUGUGAAUUCGGUUCGUCCCUGGGUCCGCCCUAAGCCAAUCUAACAGACUCAGUGGGAAUACUUUAGAGGCAUUUUAUUGCACUGCAGUUGCAACAGGUAAUCAGUGGGCUUUACACUCUCAAACCGAUUACAGUUUGGUUACAGGUGCAUCUUCCAUUUAUACAAACAAUCUGAAUGAUGCCGACACCCUAGACACAGUAUACGUGGCAACAAAAUGGUGGACUAAAUAUCUAGUACGCAUGCAAAUGAUUCAUUGUUCAUCUGGUGAUUACUCCUUAUUUGGUUACAUCCUGUUUUCUUAACUGUCAGCAAAAGAACAGUGAGAACCAAGUUUCUUAGAUACAAUUUAGUGGAGAGAGAUAGUGACGUUGAUCAUGAGAGGCCGUGAUGGCCCUGAGCUGGGCUGGUGUUACUUUAAGUUAGAAUGAGGUUUUCUAAGUAAAAUGGAGUUGCUUUGGUUUUCUAAAACACAUCAAAAGCAGGCACCAAAGGUUUUCUUAAAGAGAAACCUGUUGCCUGAUUAAUGAGGGAUUUUUUUAAACCAAUUACAAAAAUUGUGAGUUUGUUAAGGUCACAGCAGGACUGUGCAUUUCUGUGCAGGACUGGCCUGUGGAUUUACCAGGGCGUUGCUGGCUUCCCACCUCUUGCGUACAAUCAGUGUGUCCUUGUGUGAGCCGAGGGGUGUCCCUCCAGGGCUCCUUGCAGUGGGUCACAGCUACUCUCUUUGUCCCCACUACCUUUGGACACAUGAGAUCUCCCGCUCUUCCUCCAAGGAGCCCAGAGCGCGGGACUCCAUCCUGGAGGUGUGCCUGCCUGCACAGUGGAAAGAGACUCGCUGUGAUGAUUGAUCCUCACAGCGACGCUCUUUCCACUGCACAGGCGCACCUCGUAGUUGGCAAGAGCCGGGGCCGAAUGGCAGGCCCUGCAUUGCUCUGCGAGUGAGGUUGAUGUAUAAUACAUUAGAAAUGCCUAGAAUUGCACAGCUUGAAUUAGUUUGAAAUAAUGGUUCUCUGCAAGAGACCUUUCUUUGCUUGUCAGUGCAAAGCAUUGUCCAAACGUUGUUUCUCCAGUAAUAUGCCAUCCCCCAUAGGUUACUGCGCCCGUCUGUGGAAUGUGCUGAAGUUGAUAUGUAGAAGGGGUUGAUAUGACUAGGAAGAUGUUGGCAGUCUGCCUGCGAACGUGUUUAGAGUUUGUUUUCUGGCCUUGGUUAGGCACCUUGGCAUCAUAUGUUGUUUUCUUGUGAGGAUGACUUUGGCAUUGGUCAUGGAUCAAGGUAUGGAUGUUUGAAUAUUCCUUUGUCUUACUUUGAGCAAAUAGCCAAAGUAAGACCUCUGUUCUUAAGGCAGAAUAAAACCUUUGAUCUUG